GUUUGAAUUGCUUUUCUGAAACCUCAGAUUCGGCGGCAUCUUCAGUCCAGCCCAUUGACUCCAAGGCAGCUGCUAUUUCUGGGUCAUACAUGUCAUCAUCAGUUACUUCAAAAUUACCAUCUGUACCAAUAUCAUCAGCAGUUCCAAGAAGGUUGUCAAAAUCAUAACUAGAAUCUGGUUUGUAUCGAGUGGAUAAAUCAUCAAAUUUGUCAGAAUCCAGCCCACGUAUUAAAGAAGAAAGCUCAUCAUCAGAAUCUUCAUCAUCACCCAACAGUUCCUGCUCUUCUAUUUGCUUUUCAAGAAUUUUAGCCUUCUUCAAUUCUUCCUUGGCUUCAGCAAGUUUCCCUUCCCGCUUCAGCUGGAGUGCUUUUUUCUUAUGAGCAAUGACCAGUGACUUGUCCAUUCCAUGAAUUUUCUUUUCAGGAUUAGUCUUUCCAGAAACUUCUCCAAGAAGCGCAGAAAGUUCACCUUCAAGGCUCAUGGUUGCUGGCCUUUUGUCAGCAGUACGAAGGUCCAUAUCUGACCAUCCCAGAUCUCUGAGUUCAGAAGCAAGA
Molecule: unclassified non-coding RNA, 554 nt
Filed under: Hevea brasiliensis (rubber tree)
Lineage: Eukaryota; Viridiplantae; Streptophyta; Magnoliopsida; Malpighiales; Euphorbiaceae
Source: RNAcentral